GAUGGCCUACGGGGCGCAGCAGUAGGGAAUCUUCCACAAUGGGCGAAAGCCUGAUGGAGCAACGCCGCGUGGGUGAAGAAGGUCUUCGGAUCGCAAAACCCCGUUGUUAGAGAAGAAAGUGCGUGAGAGUAACUGUUCACGUUUCGACGGUAUCUAACCAGAAAGCCACGGCUAACUACGUGCCAGCAGCCGCGGUAAUACGUAGGUGGCAAGCGUUAUCCGGAUUUAUUGGGCGUAAAGAGAACGCAGGCGGUCUUUUAAGUCUGAUAUGAAAGCCUUCGGCUUAACCGGAGUAGUGCAUUGGA
This 305-nucleotide ribosomal RNA is filed under the name uncultured bacterium. Its description in RNAcentral is "bacterial SSU rRNA". It matches the Rfam family "Bacterial small subunit ribosomal RNA", at positions 333 to 630 of the family's 1533-position model. The record is from RNAcentral.